AGAGCGAACGCUGGCGGCAGGCUUAACACAUGCAAGUCGAGCGGGCGUAGCAAUACGUCAGCGGCAGACGGGUGAGUAACGCGUGGGAACGUACCUUUGGUUCGGAACAACACAGGGAAACUUGUGCUAAUACCGGAUAAGCCCUUACGGGGAAAGAUUUAUCGCCGAAAGAUCGGCCCGCGUCUGAUUAGCUAGUUGGUGAGGUAACGGCUCACCAAGGCGACGAUCAGUAGCUGGUCUGAGAGGAUGAUCAGCCACAUUGGGACUGAGACACGGCCCAAACUCCUACGGGAGGCGAGCAGUGGGGAAUAUUGGACAAUGGGCGCAAGCCUGAUCCAGCCAUGCCGCGUGAGUGAUGAAGGCCCUAGGGUUGUAAAGCUCUUUUGUGCGGGAAGAUAAUGACGGUACCGCAAGAAUAAGCCCCGGCUAACUUCGCGCCAGCAGCCGC
RNAcentral lists this ribosomal RNA (448 nucleotides) under uncultured bacterium. Its description in RNAcentral is "SSU rRNA". It matches the Rfam family "Bacterial small subunit ribosomal RNA", at positions 26 to 518 of the family's 1533-position model. The record is from RNAcentral.